GGGCACCUGGAGGCACGCAUCAUACAGAAGACAUAUGUCCUACAGCUGAGCCACAUGCUGCCAUCUAACUGGAAAGCAGGGCUGGUGCUCAGUCCUACAAAGCCAGGAACAGCUCAGGCAUGUCUGAAGAAGACAGAGGAUGAAUACAGUCUGUUUCUGUAACACCUACACUUCUGCACCACACAAUGCAAGUUACAGGGAGGCUCUUGAUCCGGGAGAAACUGAGUCACUUGCUGGGAGAAUAGCAAUGCAAGUGACAUGGAAACCCAGACAGACACAGACAGAGAUCAAAGAGAGGAGCAGCUGGAUACCUGACACAAGCCAACACUUCUGAGCAGGGCAGUUUCUGAUCUUCUGAGUCAAUACGCCAGGGGAAAUGAGAGCUGAACAGUGACAAAGGAAGGAACUUCUCUAACCUCCCUGAAACAUCCCUCCCUCAUCCCUCAUUCAUAUCUCACUGAUCAAGGCCUCUGAACCAUAAAUCACCAUGCACCAGACUAAAGGUUUUCCUGCUCUGGAAAUGCUGAUGCCUCUGUUCAGCCUUGUAGAUCAAAACACUGUUCUUGAAAGCCAGCUUAGCAUACCUGGCUGCUACAAAGUGCACAUCAUUGAAUGACUUUGUGUUCCCAGGUACAGGGCAAGAAAAAUGCCAGGGUAAGUACUGGGUACACUCUGGGGGAAAAAAAAAAUCAAUAUAUAAAAUAAAAAUUAUUUUUUUGUACAGAAUUUAAUUUUCUUUGCUGUUUUCCUCCACAACAUCUUAGAGACAAAGAAAAGGGGUGAAACUGCCUGGAGAAUGAUUUAUGCCAAGUCAAGGGAUGGCAGCUGAGAUCACUCCUUCUGAAGAAGCUCUGAUGUCUCCUCACUGUUUUGGCACAUUUACCUCCAUGUUUUCAGGAAAAUUCCAUGUCAGCAUAGCACCACGCUCACAAAAUGCUAAGUAAAUAGUGGUGGAAGGCAGAGAAAGUAAUUUACAUUAAAAAACAGCUUUACCUCAUCGUGCUGGAGUGUCUGUUGUGACUGAAGAAGGAG
This 1032-nucleotide long non-coding RNA is filed under the name Gallus gallus (chicken). RNAcentral's name for it is "lncRNA (ENSGALG00010014337.1)". Lineage: Eukaryota; Metazoa; Chordata; Aves; Galliformes; Phasianidae. The record is from RNAcentral.